AGUGAACGCUGGCGGUAGGCCUAACACAUGCAAGUCGAACGGCAGCACAGUAAGAGCUUGCUCUUACGGGUGGCGAGUGGCGGACGGGUGAGGAAUACAUCGGAAUCUACUUUUUCGUGGGGGAUAACGUAGGGAAGCUUACGCUAAUACCGCAUACGACCUACGGGUGAAAGCAGGGGAUCUUCGGACCUUGCGCGAUUGAAUGAGCCGAUGUCGGAUUAGCUAGUUGGCGGGGUAAAGGCCCACCAAGGCGACGAUCCGUAGCUGGUCUGAGAGGAUGAUCAGCCACACUGGAACAGAGACACGGUCCAGACUCCUACGGGAGGCAGCAGUGGGGAAUAUUGGACAAUGGGCGCAAGCCUGAUCCAGCCAUACCGCGUGGGUGAAGAAGGCCUUCGGGUUGUAAAGCCCUUUUGUUGGGAAAGAAAAGCAGCAGGUUAAUACCCCGCUGUUCUGACGGUACCCAAAGAAUAAGCACCGGCUAACUUCGUG
This 492-nucleotide ribosomal RNA is filed under the name uncultured bacterium. Its description in RNAcentral is "partial 16S ribosomal RNA". It matches the Rfam family "Bacterial small subunit ribosomal RNA", at positions 29 to 507 of the family's 1533-position model. The record is from RNAcentral.